GCAAACUUGGUCAUUUAGAGGAAGUAAAAGUCGUAACAAGGUUUCCGUAGGUGAACCUGCGGAAGGAUCAUUACCGUGCCUGCGAGCGUCCGCGGCUCCUUCGGGGGCCUGCUGGGUGCCGCGUCCGGCCCAACCGUGUCUAUCUAUACCUGUUGCUUCGGCGGGCCUGCGGGCUUGCUCGCUGUCGGGAGCCUCUAAGCUCCGGGCUCGUGCCCGUCGAAGACGCUUGGAACUUCUGUUGAAUCUAGCGGUCUGAGUGGGCUUUAUAAUCGUUAAAACUUUCAACAACGGAUCUCUUGGUUCCGGCAUCGAUGAAGAACGCAGC
Molecule: unclassified non-coding RNA, 325 nt
Filed under: uncultured fungus
Lineage: Eukaryota; Fungi
Description: partial contains small subunit ribosomal RNA, internal transcribed spacer 1, and 5.8S ribosomal RNA
Rfam family: Eukaryotic small subunit ribosomal RNA (bases 1-73)
Source: RNAcentral